UACGAAGGUCCCAAGCGUUGUUCGGAAUCACUGGGCGUAAAGGGAGCGUAGGCGGCGUGGUAAGUCAGAUGUGAAAUCCCGGGGCUCAACCCCGGAACUGCAUUCGAUACUGCCAUGCUUGAGUAAUGGAGGGGUAGCUGGAAUUCUCGGUGUAGCGGUGAAAUGCGUGGAUAUCAAGAGGAACACUCGUGGCGAAGGCGAGCUACUGGACAGUUACUGACGCUGAGGCUCGAAGGCUAGGGGAGCAAAAGGG
Molecule: ribosomal RNA, 253 nt
Filed under: uncultured bacterium
Lineage: Bacteria
Description: partial 16S ribosomal RNA
Rfam family: Bacterial small subunit ribosomal RNA
Source: RNAcentral